Long non-coding RNA from Asparagus officinalis (garden asparagus), 1816 nucleotides. RefSeq lists it as uncharacterized. NCBI's taxonomy places the organism in Eukaryota, Viridiplantae, Streptophyta, Magnoliopsida, Asparagales, Asparagaceae. The transcript is spliced from 3 exons. The record is from RefSeq and is a predicted model, not a curated record.
GCUAAUGAGGAGUAGGAACUUAGUGAUAGAAGUUUUGUGCUCACUGGUUAUUGAUUUGUGGAGAAGUUUCGGAAAUUUUUCUUCUCAAUUUUGACUCAUGGGGAAGGAGUUUGUGAUUUAAUUCAACAUGUAUUUUAGCAGUAGAUAGAUAGUUGCAUGUCUAUCUAAAUGUGACAUGUUUUGUUUUGAAAUAUAUUUUAAAUUAUCAAAAAGAUUAUCUUUUUAGCUCAUUUGAUUCAUAUACCUGCAGAAGUCUAGUCAAGGUUUUUAUAUCACAACAUUGCAUUUUUAUUAUUUUAAUAUCACAGUAUUGCAUUACUUUCCUGGUUAAUGGAUAAUUGGACUGCUGGAGAACAGAGCAUUGCAGUGGCUACCCUCAAGGUGAGAAUAUCUUUGAUCAUGAAUGUAAUGGUUUUACUUCUGAUGCCCAUAGUUAACCUUUUAAAAGAACCAUAUCUGUUUCUCUCUGUUUAUCUACUAAGCAAGACUCCAAUAAAAGAUAGUUCACAAUACAUUCUGUUUUCUCUAUACUAGAUCUUGAAUGACAUGCGGUCUCAUUUAGAUCUAAGAAGUCCUGGGUAUAAAGAAAACAUGUCAUUCAAGUGCCUGUCUUUCAAGCCCAUCCAUCUCCUGAGCGUAUAGAAAACAACACGAGCAAACUCUAAAUUUGUUCAACUGUCACGGAUGGAUGCUCGUGCUGUGGCCAAGUGUGUUAGAGAGUCGGAUUGUUUUUUUGGAGGAAGUGUCCUUCAUGUAACUAUGAUAUUUGAUGAUGUUCCUAUUAUAAACACGAGAACAGGGCUAUGUACUUGUUCUUGUGAAUAUGUUAGCAUGUGUCUCCAUACGACCUGCACACAUGUAUAUGUGUAUGUAGGAUAUGUUUGUGAAUAUACACACACAUACCACAUGCAUGUGCAUGUAUCUGUGUACUGUGAGAGUGGGCAUGCAUGGUGUGUAUUUGCUGCAAGGUAUGUGUUCGUGCAUAGAAUAUUGAUGAAUUUCUCACAUCAUGCGUGAUUAUCAUUUUAAGGUUGUCUCUCUAUUUUUUAGCUGUGAUUUAGUUAUCUACAUUUAUAUUAUAAAAUAUCCUCAUUGUUUUAGGUUUGUUUUUAUUUGUCUAAGCAGGGCGUUGGUCCUACUUUAAGGAGUUGUGAAGAUGCUGGAGACUCACUGUGACAGAAAGAACUAGUAUCCGAAAUUUGUCAAUUUCAUACAUUUCAUCCAUAUUUCACGCGCCGUCAUGUUGGCACCACAAGUAUAUAACAUCAUUAAUGGCCACAAGUGUUGGGAGAUUACUCAGAUUCCCCUAUCACCAGAAAGCGAAUAAAUGCGCAAAAAAAAAAGAGACGCAAGAUUUACAUGGUUCGGCACAAAAUUACCUACAUCCACGGGCUGCUGCAGAUCUUAUACUGAAAGGGGGAAAUUACAAGCACUCUGAAUAUUACUCUGAUAUUCUCACUGAGUACUCUCUCUCUCUCUGUUUUUCACUCACUGAGUUCUCUCUGGCUCAGUACUCUCUCUUAGCCUCUCUACACAAUUUCUCACUGACCCUUGAUUGUUUUUUAGCAGUUGAAAGGAUGAUCAAAUAAGGGACGAGGGGGACCCUAUUUAUAGGUGUAGAAGCUCCUCCCUUCUUAUUUUUUUCUUCCUCCCAUUUUUUACUUUUGCUCCUGCCUUUCUCUUUUGUCAACAAAAAUACUGAAGCUUUCGGUGGCUUUUUCAUUUUUGUCAAAAAGUGGCUGAAGCUCUCCCUAGCGUUAAGUUCAGAUCAUCCUAAUGUCUCCAAUUAAGAGUAAAAAAAAAAAGAAAGUGAGAG